This is a long non-coding RNA of Solea senegalensis (Senegalese sole), 1037 nucleotides long. RefSeq lists it as uncharacterized. Lineage: Eukaryota; Metazoa; Chordata; Actinopteri; Pleuronectiformes; Soleidae. The transcript has 4 exons. The record is from RefSeq and is a predicted model, not a curated record.
GAACCACCCCAAAUUGUUUUCUAUUGUAAAUAGGUUCCACAUAAUUAUUUUCCAUACCAUACCUUUUUGUUUCCCUGGGGAGUAAUUUGACGUUGCACCUGUGUGUCUCGCUUCAGUGAGCACUGACGUGCGGAGCUGGUAAAUUAUGUUUACAUCUCUCUCCCUUUGAUUAUUCUAACAAGCUUUUUGUUUGUCGCUCUUAAACAAUGCUAUCAUAAUGUACACUGCUUUGUGUCGUGCUGUUAACUUUCAGUUUGUUCAAUUGUUGUAAAAAAACUGACUUGUAUGUUUUAAUUGAACGACGCUGAAGUUAGCAUCCGGUUCAGCACUUAAGGGGAAAGUUAAGGGGAAAUUAACUUAACGUGCAAUGCGACUGUUUUCCACUGAUUGUCUGUUUUUUGUGACAAUUCUUGGUGUGAAAACAUUUUAGUUAAGACAUUAACUUUGCCUGACACCCACUAUUGUAUUUGUGAAACUUUAAUUUUCGGAGGCUAACUUUAGCGUCGUGUUAAUUGAUGCGUGGAUUAGCUUAAUGCUAGCGGCAGUUAUUAAGGGUUUCCUGGUCGCGUGAGUUUGAGCAUGGGUUCAAAACACCACACCUUGAAUGCCGCUGUAUGAUUAAUACAAUUAUUUUUCUUUAAUAUGUAGAGUGGAGACAGAUACUGGGAAUUGUGGACUGUGUGUGACGCAUGUGCUCCCUUUGAAAAGUGACAGGACACUUAGUGUCCAGCUGUCUGGUCAACAGACGCUGGCUUAUUCCAAGAACAACACAGCAGGUCCUAAAAGAUGAAGUCAUCUCCAGAGGCAGGACACAAAGCCCAGAGAUUCCAGCUGCUGCGUGGUGACCAGAGAGAGGUUGGUCCACUUCAAACCUGCAGAGCUACAGGAAAUCAGUGGAUAUCUGAGGUGGAUAUCAAAGGUUGCAGCCACGUUUGAAUGAGUCCACAUCCACGUCCCCUCGCUGCCUCACAGAGAAGCAGACAGAGCAAUUAUCUGUGUAUAUAACACACUGACUAAAUAUCUCAAACAACCCAGCU